GGCAGUUCUCAGGUGAAGCACCCCAGAAUUAGGCUCCUUCCUCUCUGGUUCUGGGUGUGUCACCAGAGAACCGCA
Molecule: non-coding RNA, 75 nt
Organism: Myotis brandtii (Brandt's bat)
Lineage: Eukaryota; Metazoa; Chordata; Mammalia; Chiroptera; Vespertilionidae
Source: Rfam